Molecule: transfer RNA, 93 nt
Filed under: Verrucomicrobiota bacterium
Lineage: Bacteria; Pseudomonadati; Verrucomicrobiota
Description: tRNA-Thr
Source: RNAcentral
UCGCGAGCUGGCCGACGGUGAUGCGAUCGGCGUAGUGCCUCGAAAUGUGCUCGAUGGCGGGCAGCAGGCGGUUCAGUUCCGCGUCGCGGCCCA